Molecule: ribosomal RNA, 582 nt
Filed under: uncultured Bradyrhizobium sp.
Lineage: Bacteria; Pseudomonadati; Pseudomonadota; Alphaproteobacteria; Hyphomicrobiales; Nitrobacteraceae
Description: bacterial SSU rRNA
Rfam family: Bacterial small subunit ribosomal RNA
Source: RNAcentral
GGAAACUGCAGCUAAUACCUGAUGAGCCCCUAACGGGGGAAAGAUUUAUCGCCUUGGGAGCGGCCCGCGUCGGAUUAGCUAGUUGGUGGGGUAACGGCCUACCAAGGCUUCGAUCCGUAGCUGGUCUGAGAGGACGAUCAGCCACACUGGGACUGAGACACGGCCCAGACUCCUACGGGAGGCAGCAGUGGGGAAUCUUGCGCAAUGGGCGAAAGCCUGACGCAGCCAUGCCGCGUGAACGAUGAAGGCCUUAGGGUUGUAAAGUUCUUUUGCCCGUGACGAUGAUGACGGUAACGGGAGAAUAAGCUCCGGCUAACUUCGUGCCAGCAGCCGCGGUAAUACGAAGGGGGCUAGCGUUGUUCGGAAUUACUGGGCGUAAAGCGCGCGCAGGCGGUUUUGUAAGUUGGGGGUGAAAUCCCCGGGCUCAACCCGGGAAUGGCCUUCAAGACUGCGAAGCUAGAGGACGAGAGAGGUGAGUGGAAUUCCCAGUGUAGAGGUGAAAUUCGUAGAUAUUGGGAAGACACCGGUGGCGAAGGCGGCUCACUGGCUCGUAUCUGACGCUGAGGCGCGAAAGCGUGGGGA